Molecule: small RNA, 413 nt
Filed under: Histoplasma capsulatum var. duboisii H88
Lineage: Eukaryota; Fungi; Ascomycota; Eurotiomycetes; Onygenales; Ajellomycetaceae
Description: Histoplasma capsulatum H88 hypothetical RNA
Source: RNAcentral
ACCCAGGGGGAAGGAGGAGAAGCAGGAACUAAAACGGUUCCAAAGCGUUCUACUGCAUAGGUCGGAGGUCAGCAGGGCGGGCAGAAAUAAUAUUACUGAUUAUUCUCGUCUAUUAACUAUUCUUAACCGUCCAGUGACAAUGAAAAAAAAAAAAAAAGUCGAGGUGAAAAUUCCUAAUGGAUUUUGUUCAUAUAGUCUAAGGCGCAAGCCUCGGAAAUUCCCGUCCUGGCAGUGACAGCCGGUUCUUGUUGCUCUCUUUUUUCUUCUCCUCCUCGCCCCCAAGAACCCAAAAUGCGGAGAAACUGGGGUUAGAGUUCGAAAAGGAGAGUGUGUUUGUUCCGAGAGGGGGAGGCGGAUUACACUAACUAGCGUUGGCUACUCCAAAAAAACAUAGAUGCAUCACAUACUGCCGU